GACGAACGCUGGCGGCGUGCUUAACACAUGCAAGUCGAACGGAAAGGCCCUGCUUUUGUGGGGUGCUCGAGUGGCGCACGGGAGAGUAACACGUGAGUAACCUGCCCCUGACUUUGGGAUAACUUCAGGAAACUGGGGCUAAUACCGGAUAGGAGCUCCUGCUGCAGGGUGGGGGUUGGAAAGUUUCGGCGGUGGGGGAUGGGCUCGGGGCUUAUGAGCUUGUUGGUGGGGUAGUGGCUUACAAAGGUUUUGACGGGUAGCCGGCCUGGGGGGGUGACCGGCCACAUUGGGACUGAGAUACGGCCCAGACUCCGACGGGAGGCAGCAGUGGGGAAUAUUGCACAAUGGGCGGAAGCCUGAUGCAGCAACGCCGCGUGCGGGAUGACGGCCUUCGGGUUGUAAACCGCUUUCGCCGGUGACGAAGCGUGAGUGACGGUAAUGGGUAAAGAAGCACCGGCUAACUACGUG
RNAcentral lists this ribosomal RNA (468 nucleotides) under uncultured bacterium. RNAcentral describes it as "partial 16S ribosomal RNA". It matches the Rfam family "Bacterial small subunit ribosomal RNA", at positions 28 to 507 of the family's 1533-position model. The record is from RNAcentral.